GUCUAUGGCCAUGCCACCCUGAACAAGCUCGAAGUCUGAUCUUGGAAGCUAAGCAGGGUCAGACCUGGUUAGUCCUUGGAUGGGAGACCACCUAGGAAGACCAGGUGCUGUAGGCA
Molecule: ribosomal RNA, 116 nt
Filed under: Pteropus alecto (black flying fox)
Lineage: Eukaryota; Metazoa; Chordata; Mammalia; Chiroptera; Pteropodidae
Also listed under: 1 other name
Source: RNAcentral